AUUGAACGCUGGCGGCAUGCUUUACACAUGCAAGUCGAGCGGCAGCGCGGGUGCAACCCUGGCGGCGAGCGGCGAACGGGUAAGUAAUGCAUCGGAACUUAUCCUCCAGUGGGGGAUAACCCAGCGAAAGUUGGGCUAAUACCGCAUGAGCUCUGAGGAGGAAAGCGUGGGACCUGCGAGGUCCUCGCGCUGGAGGAGCGGCCGAUGUCCGAUUAGCUGGUUGUUGGGGUAAUGGCUUACCAAGGCGGCGAUCGGUAGCUGGUCGGAGAGGAUGAUGAGCCACAAUAGGAGGGAGACACGGCCCAGACUCCUACGGGAGGCAGCAGUGGGGAAGUUUGGAGCAUGGGGGGAACCCUGAUCCAGCCAUGCCGCGGGAGUGAAGAAGGCCUUCGUGUUGUAAAGCUCUUUCGGACGGAACGAAAUGGGCGGGACUAAUACUCCUGUCGGAUGACGGUACCGUAAGAAGAAGCACCGGCUAACUACGUG
This 486-nucleotide ribosomal RNA is filed under the name uncultured bacterium. Its description in RNAcentral is "partial 16S ribosomal RNA". It matches the Rfam family "Bacterial small subunit ribosomal RNA", at positions 29 to 507 of the family's 1533-position model. The record is from RNAcentral.